Rhagoletis zephyria (snowberry fruit fly) is the source of this 375-nucleotide long non-coding RNA. RefSeq lists it as uncharacterized. Lineage: Eukaryota; Metazoa; Arthropoda; Insecta; Diptera; Tephritidae. The record is from RefSeq and is a predicted model, not a curated record.
UAUUUUCGUUGUCGGUCCGAACAUGGUAUAACACUAUCUUAUGCAAAUUCGCCUUGCUAGUGAUAAAUAUCUGUAAAGAAACAAAGCUCCUGUGUGGUGUAUUCAAUAUUCAUUUUUUGGUGAAUUCUUUGGACAAUUGUCAAUUGCCCACAGAAAUUAUCAGGAAUUGCGGAAAGAGAUAUCCAGCUUAUAGGCAGAGUCAGCAGCAUACGUGGCGAUUUUCGGGAAAAAGUUUUCGUAGCGUUUUUGAUGUUUUUUGGUUUUGUUGACAUCGUCUUCAACCUCUUCAUAGUGAUUUUUUAGCGACUUGAUGUGUUUUCUGCAGCGAUUUAAACUAUAAAUUUUGAUUUAUUACGAAUAUAUGAUAUAAAUGAA